Monoraphidium neglectum is the source of this 156-nucleotide non-coding RNA. The record is from Rfam. Lineage: Eukaryota; Viridiplantae; Chlorophyta; Chlorophyceae; Sphaeropleales; Selenastraceae.
CUAACUUGAUUCUUAGUUAGAACCUAUCCAGGCAUGCGUCGUGAGUAAUCAAGGGGUGUGAAGCCCUGGAAACAAUGUAGCUUAGAGUAAGAAGAAAGCUUCUCUAAGAGCUAGGUUAAACCUCUAUGGAUAACGUAAGUGAACCCGCGUGAGAAG